This is a small nuclear RNA of Callithrix jacchus (white-tufted-ear marmoset), 108 nucleotides long. The record is from Ensembl. Lineage: Eukaryota; Metazoa; Chordata; Mammalia; Primates; Cebidae.
GUGCUCACUUUUGGCAGCAUAUACACUAAAAUUGGAACAAUACAGAGAAGAUUAGCAUAGUAUCUGAGCAAGCAUGACACACAAAUUCAUGAAGCAUUUCAUACUUUU